This 45-nucleotide non-coding RNA is filed under the name Schistosoma mansoni. The record is from RNAcentral. Lineage: Eukaryota; Metazoa; Platyhelminthes; Trematoda; Strigeidida; Schistosomatidae.
AUUCAGCUGACGAGUUCCAAAUAAGAUGAAACGCGCGUCCUAGAU